UUAGUUAAAGCCAAAAAGAGGCAUUUCAUUGUUAAUGAAAAAAUUGAAUCAAUAUUCUAACUAAA
RNAcentral lists this transfer RNA (65 nucleotides) under Apolygus lucorum. RNAcentral's name for it is "tRNA-Asn". The record is from RNAcentral. Lineage: Eukaryota; Metazoa; Arthropoda; Insecta; Hemiptera; Miridae.